Molecule: ribosomal RNA, 336 nt
Filed under: Monobia quadridens
Lineage: Eukaryota; Metazoa; Arthropoda; Insecta; Hymenoptera; Vespidae
Description: eukaryotic LSU rRNA
Rfam family: Eukaryotic large subunit ribosomal RNA
Source: RNAcentral
GACCCGUCUUGAACCACGGAGUCUAACAUGUGCGCGAGUCAUUGGGAUAGUAAAACCUAAAGGCGCAAUGAAAGUGAAGGUCGGCUUCGCGUCGACCGAGGGAGGAUGGGCCGCGCUACGACGGCACUCCCGGGGCGUCUCGUUCUCAUUACGAGAAGAGGCGCACCCAGAGCGUACACGUUGGGACCCGAAAGAUGGUGAACUAUGCCUGGUCAGGACGAAGUCAGGGGAAACCCUGAUGGAGGUCCGUAGCGAUUCUGACGUGCAAAUCGAUCGUCGGAACUGGGUAUAGGGGCGAAAGACUAAUCGAACCAUCUAGUAGCUGGUUCCUUCCGA